GACGAACGCUGGCGGCGUGCUUAACACAUGCAAGUCGAACGGAAAGGCCCUGCUUUUGUGGGGUGCUCGAGUGGCGAACGGGUGAGCAACACGUGAGUAACCUGCCCUUGACUUUGGGAUAACUUCAGGAAACUGGGGCUAAUACCGGAUAGGAGCUCCUGCUGCAUGGUGGGGGUUGGAAAGUUUCGGCGGUUGGGGAUGGACUCGCGGCUUAUCAGCUUGUUGGUGGGGUAGUGGCUUACCAAGGCUUUGACGGGUAGCCGGCCUGAGAGGGUGACCGGCGACAUUGGGACUGAGAGACGGCGCAGACUGGUACGGUAGGCAGCAGUGGAGAAUAUUGCACAAUGGGCGGAAGCCUGAUGCAGCAACGCCGCGUGCGGGAUGACGGCCUUCGGGUUGUAAACCGCUUUCGCCUGUGACGAAGCGUGUGUGACGGUAAUGGGUAAAGAAGCACCGGCUAACUACGUG
RNAcentral lists this ribosomal RNA (468 nucleotides) under uncultured bacterium. Its description in RNAcentral is "partial 16S ribosomal RNA". It matches the Rfam family "Bacterial small subunit ribosomal RNA", at positions 28 to 507 of the family's 1533-position model. The record is from RNAcentral.